UACAGAGGUCCCAAGCGUUGUUCGGAUUCAUUGGGCGUAAAGGGUGCGUAGGCGGCGGGGUAAGUCAGGUGUGAAAUCCCGGAGCUCAACUCCGGAACUGCACUUGAUACUGCCUUGCUCGAGUACUGGAGAGGAGACUGGAAUUUACGGUGUAGCAGUGAAAUGCGUAGAUAUCGUAAGGAAGACCAGUGGCGAAGGCGAGUCUCUGGACAGUUACUGACGCUGAGGCACGAAGGCCAGGGGAGCAAACGGG
Molecule: ribosomal RNA, 253 nt
Filed under: uncultured bacterium
Lineage: Bacteria
Description: partial 16S ribosomal RNA
Rfam family: Bacterial small subunit ribosomal RNA
Source: RNAcentral